This 324-nucleotide ribosomal RNA is filed under the name uncultured eukaryote. Its description in RNAcentral is "partial 18S ribosomal RNA". It matches the Rfam family "Eukaryotic small subunit ribosomal RNA", at positions 1470 to 1796 of the family's 1831-position model. The record is from RNAcentral.
CCCUUAGAUGUUCUGGGCCGCACGCGCGCUACACUGACGAAUGCAACGAGCUUAUAACCUUGGCCGAAAGGUCUGGGUAAUCUCCAAAUUUCGUCGUGAUGGGGAUAGAUUAUUGCAAUUAUUAAUCUUCAACGAGGAAUGCCUAGUAAGCGCAAGUCAUCAGCUUGCGUUGAUUACGUCCCUGCCCUUUGUACACACCGCCCGUCGCUCCUACCGAUUGAAUGGUCCGGUGAAUAAUUCGGACUGAUGCAAUAUUCAGCUCCUGGACGUUGCGUUGGAAAGUUUAGUGAACCUUAUCACUUAGAGGAAGGAGAAGUCGUAACA